UGGGGAUAUUGCACAAUGGGGGAAACCCUGAUGCAGCGACGCCGCGUGAGUGAAGAAGUAUUUCGGUAUGUAAAGCUCUAUCAGCAGGAAAGAUAAUGACGGUACCUGACUAAGAAGCACCGGCUAAAUACGUGCCAGCAGCCGCGGUAAUACGUAUGGUGCAAGCGUUAUCCGGAUUUACUGGGUGUAAAGGGAGCGCAGACGGCAUGGCAAGCCAGAUGUGAAAGGUGGGGCUCAACCCCCAAGCUGCAUUUGGAACUGUCAAGCUAGAGUAUCGGAGAGGUAAGUGGAAUUCCUAGUGUAGCGGUGAAAUGCGUAGAUAUUAGGAGGAACA
RNAcentral lists this ribosomal RNA (334 nucleotides) under uncultured Coprococcus sp. Its description in RNAcentral is "bacterial SSU rRNA". It matches the Rfam family "Bacterial small subunit ribosomal RNA", at positions 356 to 708 of the family's 1533-position model. Lineage: Bacteria; Bacillati; Bacillota; Clostridia; Lachnospirales; Lachnospiraceae. The record is from RNAcentral.